AUCAAAUGCUACUCGCAGAAGAGCGCAACUCUGUCUCCGUCAGGCGGAGCAACACAUAAAUCACGUGACUCAUGACUUCUGGCGCAUCCGUCACGGACAGGAAGACGUCUCCAUGUGGCGUGUCUGUUUCUCUGUAUGUGUGUCUCUCAGUGGACUAAGUGCAAUAAAUCUGCCUGAGCGCUCGUAGUGGAAAGGUGAAGUCUCAGAGCCGGAGAAGCUCCGGGCGUUUCUUGCUCUCGAACAAUGUGGAGAUCAAAGAGUUCAUCUCUGACAGCUGAUGACUGGCUUCCCAUGGACGGUUCACCAAAGGAGGCUCACACCUGCAGCAGGUGAUUACAGGUAGAUCUGCCUGCCUCUAAUUGGACAAUAAACACCACUCUCCGCCUGCUAAUGGCUGCAGUCUGCCUCUCAGACGCCACUCUGCUAUUUGGCCGUUGCCAGAAGUCUCCUCCGCAUGGCCACCAUGAUGACACGCUGCAGGAGCAUUCGAAGCAAAGUGCAGGAUAACUUGCCAUCUCAGCCUUUAAGACGAGCCAGAGAGAAAGAGAGCAUGAGUGAAGUCAUGAUCAUUCAUUAUCUUCCUCUCUUGUGUGUGUAGCUUGAAUGCAUCCUGAAGCAGUUGUGUUAGUUUUGUUAAUAGUCUUCCAGCUGUAAUGCUGUUCUUUUCACAUGUUUGUAAGUGUGUUGAACAUUCUUGAAGUGACUAACACACACCACAACUUUCCUGUGACGCUCAUGCUGGAUCUUGACGUAAGUCCAUCUGCAGACCGUAGCAGACAUGACCAUGCAGAAACUCUGACCUGUAGACCGGGUCACGGCACCACCGGACGACAGAUUGUGGAGGAGCUCAAGAGGACAGCAGCAGACGUGAGGAGCGAGGAGCAGCCAUCCCUGAGGUGUGUCUGUACGAGAAGCCUCCAUCUGAGCCGCAGGCACCUGGCCAGAUAUCAGCAGCCUGCACCCCGGUCAAGCCACUGUCCCACACCACGGAGAACUUCAAUUACAGUGGGAUUCUCAGAGCGGAGAGCGAGGGGCUUGCAUUGAUUGAGGAGGGCAACAAUUGAUUUUGUCCAUUACGUGGUGAGAAUGUUUCCAUCCUGCGCAGAUCAGGCUGCCCUCCUCCUGUGGGUGGAGAUAAGAGGCCGCUGCAUUGUGGCUGCCUAAUCUGUGUGACGGCGCUUGUCUGUGCUGAAAUUGAUGUGGCUUUUCAUGCGGCCGCGUGUGGGUCUGCGUCGGUGGUGGGGGUCUGUUCCUCCGCACCCCGUCUCAGAUCCACUCGGAGCCCUGAGUGCUGCUCACAUCAGCAAACAUGAGGGGAUUUGCAUCGAUACAGAUAUCUGCCUUGCAUUUGUUCCACAGGAUGUUUCUAAAGAGCAUAAAGGCAUUUGUAAUGAUGUCUGUGACUUGUUGAAUUCUUGAGCCUUUAUUGUCCUUACAGUGGGAUGCGGGUCAGAAGAGGGUCAGAAGUAUUAAUACAAAGGAUUAAAACCAUGUUAAUCUGUAAAUAGGAGAGUUUUGCAAGGAAUUUUUAUUGAGUUCUUUAACCAUAAUGCAUUCAAAUGCUGCCACACAAAUGCGCAAUCAACAAUACCCUUGAAAAACAUUAUUAAAUAAAAAUGUAGCUUUCUUAAAUAAUAUGUUUUGC
Molecule: long non-coding RNA, 1645 nt
Organism: Cyprinus carpio (common carp)
Lineage: Eukaryota; Metazoa; Chordata; Actinopteri; Cypriniformes; Cyprinidae
Source: Ensembl